UGGGGUUUUUAAAUACAAAAUAGGAAGUACUAUAACAAACGACUCGGCAAUCUUAACUAGAUUGACAGACUCGAUACUACUAUACAAGACUAAAAAUUAAAAGACAACAUAAGAUAGAGUAAAAAAAAUAAAAAGUUUCCUCUGGCAGUCAUGCAUGCAAUGGUCUUGACUAGAAUGGUUCUCGGGUAUUUGUCAUGCUCAAACUCUAGCAAGUUGCUCCAUACCUGAAUAGGAAAAAUAAGAUCAAAUAGAGUUAGUGACUCGAGACACUAUGUAAAACCACAGCAUCUCCUAUUAGACACAUGCAAGACAAGAUUAAGGCUAUUUUUGCAAAAUGACCUACGUAGCCAAAGGUGGAUAUUAAUUCAAACUCAACAAGAUCGACCUCUAAGACAUGGAAAUACCUCACUAAGGCUUAUAUAGAUUCAACUCCCAAUAAUCAUGGCCCAAAAAAUUAUUUUGCAAAAUUGACUCAUUUCGCAAAAAACAACCGAUAUGGCCAGAAGGGGCUAAAAAGGCAAACUCAAAAAUGAAGGACCUUAGAGUAAUAUAACACCUAGUUGUGGACUCAAAAUCCUAAAAAAUGGGUUAUUGAACAACUUUUGUGAAAAUGACCCCAUUUUGCAAGAAUGACUGAUGUGGCCAAAAAGUGGCUAGACAUGCAAGAUAUGGCUAAGACCCAGCAACGCUAAGAACCUAAGGAACUAGGAAGACCGGAGCCUAUGUGGGUUAUCUACAUAUCCUGUCCCGAAAGACGAGAAUCAGGUUCGUGUAGUUCGGAAAGACUGGAUGUGGAAGAAAGCUUAAAAAAUGACACUAAUUUGGAAAAAAUAUAUGUUUGUCUUUUUGAAAAAUGAUGGAAAAUGCAAAAUCUUUUUGGAUUUUUUUUUCUUUUUUUUUUUUUGAAUUUUUGAAAAAUGAUGGGAAAGGGUAAAAUCUUUUGGAUUUUCUUUUUUUUUGUGAAAAUGACCCCAUUUUGCAAGAAUGACUGAUGUGGCCAAAAAGUGGCUAGACAUGCAAGAUAUGGCUAAGACCCAGCAACGCUAAGAACCUAAGGAACUAGGAAGACCGGAGCCUAUGUGGGUUAUCUACAUAUCCUGUCCCGAAAGACGAGAAUCAGGUUCGUGUAGUUCGGAAAGACUGGAUGUGGAAGAAAGCUUAAAAAAUGACACUAAUUUGGAAAAAAUAUAUGUUUGUCUUUUUGAAAAAUGAUGGAAAAUGCAAAAUCUUUUUGGAUUUUUUUUUUUUUUUUUUUUUUUGAAUUUUUGAAAAAUGAUGGGAAAGUGUAAAAUCUUUUGGAUUUUCUUUUUUUUUUUUGAAUUUUUGGAAAAUAAUGAAAAAUGUAAAUUCUUUUUGGAUUUUUUAUUUUUUUAUUUUUUGGAAAUGAUGAUAAAGUGUAAAACUUUUUUAGAUUUUUCAUUUUCAUUUUUUUAUCUUUUUAUUUGAAAAAGCAGUGAAAAAAAAUAUUACCGGGCCCUACUAGUUUCAUUAUUCACCUUUCCUUCCCAAACAUCGGACCGCCUAAUGACCAUUUUUACCCUCAAGGAUGUAGCAUAUAGGGAUGAUUAAAUGUCUUUUUGGGCCACGGACCCAUUUUAACAAAAUUUGAAUAGGCUUCCUGUAGAGGGACUGGAUGCCUAGGACCGAGCCCUGCUAGGUCUAAAUGACAUGAUGCAAAUAAAAAUGACCUAAAAGCUGACCUAAGUUUGGGGUUCACUAACAAGACAAUUCGGGGGAGCCUAUGGUCGAUGGUGGCUGCUCAAGCAUUCCACCCACUCCAUACGUCCGAAGCCCCUCCCUCCACCUCCUAAAUUAAGGGUGACUCAAUAAAGAGUUCGUGCACGCGAAGCGUACUUCGAGACUUGUUGUAGAAAGAAGACCCAUUGUUAUGCAAAUGGUGACAGUUUAUACAGCAGUAGCACAUAAAGGAAACUGUAAACAAAUAAGAAACUAGAAAAUAAUAAAAAGACAUAAAUAAAAUAAAAACCAAAUAAAGCAAAUAGAACACAUAAAAAUCUCAACCUAAUAUACUAAAAGCCAACAAGAUCAAGUACUAGCUCGAACCUGCAAUCUCCAACGGAGUCACUAGAGAUAUCACACCCCUUUUUAACAACAAACCUCACUAAACCCUCUUAAAAUAAUAAAAAGUUUUUAAUAAAGCAUGGAAAGGGUUUUUUCAAUUUUGAAAAGUGACAAAGAAUUUUGUUUAAAAAGAAAUAACUCAGAGUCGCCACCUGAUAUUUGUUUCGGUGCGCUAGGUCACCAUUUUUUUCUAAAAAAAAUAAGUUUCCUUUCAAAACACUUGAGACUCUAAAAUUAAGUUUGCACCAGAGAUUUGAGUAAGGAGGUUGAUUUGACUCGGGGAGAAGGUGUUAGGCACUCCCCAAUUUCCGUAACUAGUACGAUUUCAUACUUGAUCUAGUUGACUUUGAAAUAUUCAAUUGAGGUAAAACACAAAAAUAAAAUAAACACACAAGAGGAUAGAGGUCGUCCCCACCUAAAAAAGAUAAAAUACAUAAAGGAAAAUAUUAAAGUUCUAUUCUACGCUUCCUCAUAUCAUCCAAUCUCUGGUCUUCAUUUACAUGUACUUUGGGCAUACCCCAAAUAAAAUAUAUACAAAUUCUUCGGGGCAUUCCCGGAUAAAUUUAACUAAGGAAACGACUUGUUGCCUCAAAACUAAUAAAAAUCCUAAGGCUUGCCUACCCAAGUGUAGUCGGCCUAAGCAUGCUACUAACGGAUUCAAAAUAAGAUAAACAAAACAAAUAAGAGCAAGAUAACUACUUAAGGUCCAAUUUCUUUCUUAUUUUUUUUAUCAAUUUAACUUGAUUCCAGACUCUUUUCGCAAGCUCCCAACUCACAAUCAAGCAAGAAUCAUCCCAACUAAAAACGUUUUUAAGAUCAAACAGAAUGCUAAAACCUAAGUUCUAGAGAUGCCACCAUUUCAGACCAUCAAAGAUCGAUGAAUACGACAAGCAUGGGUGCAUUUAAUUUAAGAACAAAACGAGCUAAUAAAAUGAAAAGCAGAACAAAGAUCCAAGUUUAAGAGUUCAAGAAAUAAACCUCGAUAUGAAUCCAAUUUUGAUGUAACUGAAUUUAACGACGGACAGAACCUCGAAUGGAAAUUGAUUGGACCAACAGAAAUUUCUCAACCAAACACUCGACUACUCUUAUGAGAAUUUAACAAAAAGUAUCUUCAUCCUCACAUUUGAAAGUUUCUGGUACAGCAAUGAUAGAUAAUCAGACAAAGACACGAUCGGAAACCGCGAAACGGAAAACUUCAACGAGACUCAAGCUCGACUGGAAAUUUGUGUUCUGGGUUGUUUGGACUGAAAAUUGCUGAAAAUACACCACCCAACAGAAAUGUCGGAUCUGUCGCCGACGAAAUAGAAACUAAAACCAAAGGAAAAUUAUAAGAAUAGCAACUCCCUUUCUCUCCAUUUGUGAGCGUGUGUGUGUUUGCCGGUUUUAUUGGUGAAGGUCCACGGCUUCCGAGUUGACUAGUUCUCUGCUGGAACUCGCUUUUUCGGCAAACUGCUAGAGGGGGAAGAAGAAGAACACAACAUCAACAGGGGAAGGGUGGCUGAAGGAUGGAUGCUUGUGGGCUGGUUUCCGGCGAGUUGGUAAAUGGGAGUGGUAUGAAGUCCGACGACUUGUGUGAAGGAGACGGAGGUGGGGGUGUGCUAGUGAGUUACAAAGCAAUAGAGGUGGCGGCUGUCUGGUUUAGUAUUUUUAGAAGAAGGUGGACGGCUGGUUUUUAGUUUUGUAGGGUUUUUUGGUAGUGUAGUAUAUGGUUCAAGAAGGAGACUGCUAGGUUUAUGUCUUG
Molecule: long non-coding RNA, 3823 nt
Filed under: Nicotiana benthamiana
Lineage: Eukaryota; Viridiplantae; Streptophyta; Magnoliopsida; Solanales; Solanaceae
Description: long non-coding RNA (NBEN_LNC009480)
Source: RNAcentral